CAGUGGGGAAUUUUCCGCAAUGGGCGAAAGCCUGACGGAGCAAUGCCGCGUGAGUGAUGAAGGCCUUAGGGUUGUAAAGCUCUUUUACCCGGGAUGAUAAUGACAGUACCGGGAGAAUAAGCUCCGGCUAACUCCGUGCCAGCAGCCGCGGUAAUACGGAGGGAGCUAGCGUUGUUCGGAAUUACUGGGCGUAAAGCGCGCGUAGGCGGUUUUUUAAGUCAGAGGUGAAAGCCCAGUGCUCAACACUGGAACUGCCUUUGAAACUGGAAAACUUGAAUCUUGGAGAGGUCAGUGGAAUUCCGAGUGUAGAGGUGAAAUUCGUAGAUAUUCGGAAGAACACCAGUGGCGAAGGCGACUGACUGGACAAGUAUUGACGCUGAGGUGCGAAAGCGUGGGGAGCAAACAGGAUUAGA
RNAcentral lists this ribosomal RNA (413 nucleotides) under uncultured bacterium. RNAcentral's name for it is "bacterial SSU rRNA". It matches the Rfam family "Bacterial small subunit ribosomal RNA", at positions 352 to 782 of the family's 1533-position model. The record is from RNAcentral.